CCUACGGGGGGCUGCAGUGGGGAAUAUUGGGCAAUGGGCGCAAGCCUGACCCAGCAACGCCGCGUGAGGGAAGAAGGUCUUCGGAUUGUAAACCUCUGUCCUUGGGGACGAAAAAAAUGACGGUACCCAAGGAGGAAGCUCCGGCUAACUACGUGCCAGCAGCCGCGGUAAUACGUAGGGAGCGAGCGUUGUCCGGAAUUACUGGGCGUAAAGGGUGCGUAGGCGGCAUGGCAAGUCAGAUGUGAAAUCCCCGGGCUUAACUCGGGAGUUGCAUUUGAAACUGCUGUGCUUGAGUGCAGGAGAGGAAAGCGGAAUUCCUAGUGUAGCGGUGAAAUGCGUAGAUAUUAGGAGGAACACCAGUGGCGAAGGCGGCUUUCUGGACUGUAACUGACGCUGAGGCACGAAAGCGUGGGGAGCAAACAGGAUUAGAUACCCUUGUAGUC
This 443-nucleotide ribosomal RNA is filed under the name uncultured Eubacteriales bacterium. RNAcentral's name for it is "bacterial SSU rRNA". It matches the Rfam family "Bacterial small subunit ribosomal RNA", at positions 338 to 795 of the family's 1533-position model. The record is from RNAcentral. Lineage: Bacteria; Bacillati; Bacillota; Clostridia; Eubacteriales.